This 1137-nucleotide ribosomal RNA is filed under the name Triticum aestivum (bread wheat). Its description in RNAcentral is "partial small subunit ribosomal RNA". Lineage: Eukaryota; Viridiplantae; Streptophyta; Magnoliopsida; Poales; Poaceae. The record is from RNAcentral.
AUGAACUCUUUGAAUAUCCAUAGUACUAAUGAUGUUUGCACUAGUUAUGAUGAAAAUAUCUCUUAUAAGCAUGUCGAUUUUUGUGGAGUAGAUUGGGUUUGCAAGUACACACCAAAUAGGGAAAAUAGAUAUUGCAAGAGGCAUAAGUAUUUAGAAACUAAAAGGUUGCACGAAAUUCUUGAUGUUUGUGCUGAAAAAUUCAAUAUUUUUCGCGCUCCUUGUGAACUUUACAAUGAACGUGGUCAUUUAAAUCUCCAAUGCAAAUUGUUUCAUGACCAAAUCGUAUCCAAAAUUUGUGCUAAUUUGAUUACCCUUGAGCAUCAUAAAGAGCUUAGUCUUCUUUUGGGGUAUGAAGAAAUGAAACGUAUAACUGAGGGUAUUUCAAAAUUUAAUCUUGAUAGAUUUCUUGAUUUUGAUCUAGAGAAGAUUUAUUUGUAUUAUGCGGUGAAUUGCAUUGAAAAUCCUUAUAUUGCCAAUUACAUAAAGAAAAGAAAGCAAAUAGAAGAUGAUGAGAAUACUAAUGAAAGGGAAGAGAUUUCCCAAUCUCCUCCUAUUAUUGCUUAUGAUGAAUCAGGUAACGAGGAGGAGCUUUCUAUUCAACCAAUCCCAUCAAUAAAGAAAGUUGAACCCACACAUAAUGUGAAGAAGAAAAAGAAAAGAAGGAGCAACAAAGGUAAAAAGGUAUCCCUCCCAAAUGAUGUUGCUCCUACUACUCAUUGUGAUGAUGGUAAUUGCUAUACUAUUGGUGCUAUCCAUACUAUUAAUGAUGAGAGUGAUUAUGCUUAUGAUAUGAAAGGACCCAAGCUUGGGGAAGCUAUGUUUGAUGAGGAUGACAUAUUUGAGAAUAUAUUUGCUAAAAUUAAUGUUUGUCCCAAGCUUGGGGAUGCUAAGUUUAAUGAAGAUGAUAUUUUUAGCAUCCCAAGUUUUGAUAUGCAAAGUUGUUAUGAUGAUAGCAUGCCUCUUACCUAUGAUGAUUAUAUUAAUGAAAGUGGGUUUGGAAGAGUGUCAACUUUAGGAAGUAGUGAUCCCACUAUUUUGGAGGAUGUUGAAUUUUAUUGUGAUGAAUACGAAAGUGGAUUUGGAAGAGUGUCAACUUUAUUUAGUGAUUCCACUAAUCUUGGGAGAGGUUUCAACUGA